RNAcentral lists this small RNA (126 nucleotides) under Marmota monax (woodchuck). The record is from RNAcentral. Lineage: Eukaryota; Metazoa; Chordata; Mammalia; Rodentia; Sciuridae.
GCCGGGCGCACCGGUGCACACCUGUGAUCCCAUCAACUCGGAGGCUGAGGCAGGAGAAUCGCAAGUGCCAAGCCAGCCUCAGCAACUUAGUGAGACCCUAAGCAGCUGAAUGAGACCCUGUCUCAA